Molecule: long non-coding RNA, 2019 nt
Organism: Taeniopygia guttata (zebra finch)
Lineage: Eukaryota; Metazoa; Chordata; Aves; Passeriformes; Estrildidae
Source: Ensembl
AUGGCAUUGUCACCUCAGUGUCACCUGUGUCACCUCCCUGUGUCACCUCCCUGUGUCACACCUGUGUCACCUGUGUCACUGUGUCACACCUGUGUCACCUGUGUCACACGUGUGUCACACCUGUGUCACACCUGUGUGUCACCUGUGUCACACCUGUGUCACCUGUGUCACCUGUGUCACCUGUGUCACACCUGUGUCACACCUGUGUCACACCUGUGUCACACCUGUGUCACCUGUGUCACACCUGUGUCACCUGUGUCACCUGUGUCACCUGUGUCACACCUGCGGCGCUGGAGCUGCCCUACCCCUACCUGGAACCAUCCGUGGUGCAGGAGAGCAUCUCCAUCUGAUGGCAUUGUCACCUGUGUGUCACCUGUGUCAUACCUGUGUCACACCUGUGUCACACCUGUGUCACCUGUGUCACACCUGUGGCGCUGGAGCUGCCCUACCCCUACCUGGAACCUUCCAUGGUGCAGGAGAGCAUCUCCAUCUGAUGGCAUUGUCACCUGUGUCACCUGUGUCACCUCCUGUGUCACCUGUGUCACCUGUGUCACCUGUGUCACCUGUGUCACACCCGUGUCACACCCGUGUCACCUGUGUCACACCUGUGUCACCUCCUGUGUCACACCUGUGUCACCUGUGUCACCUGUGUCACACCUGUGUCACCUGUGUGUCACCUGUGUCACCUGUGUCACCUCAUUGUCAGCUGUGUCACCUGUGUCACACCUGUGUCACACCUGUGUCACCUGUGUCACCUGUGUCACCUGUGUCACCUCAUUGUCACCUGUGUCACCUCCUGUGUCACACCUGUGUCACACCUGUGUCACCUCCUGUGUCACCUGUGUCACCUGUGUCACCUGUGUCACCUGUGUCACCUCCUGUGUCACCUGUGUCACCUGUGUCACCUGUGUCACCUCAUUGUCACCUGUGUCACCUGUGUCACCACCAACCUGGGCCCCUCCAGGAUGUCCCCAACCCUGUCUGGGAUGUCCCCAACCCCCUCGAGAUGUCCCCAAGGUGUCCCCAAGGUGUCCCCAAGUUGUCCCCAACCCCCCCAAGGUGUCCCCAAGGUGUCCCCAAGGUGUCCCCAAGAUGUCCCCAAGGUGUCACCAAGGUGUCCUCAACCCCCCCAAGGUGUCCCCAAGGUGUCACCAAGGUGUCCCCAAAGUGUCCCCAACCCCCCCAAGGUGUCCCCAAAGUGUCCCCAAGGUGUCCCAACCCCCCGCGAUGUCCCUGAGGUGUCCCCAAGGUGUCCUCAAACCCCUGAGAUGUCCCCAAGGUGUCGCCAAGGUGUCCCCAAAGUGUCCCCAACCCCCCCAGGGUGUCCCCAAGGUGUCCCCAAGUUGUCCCCAAGGUGUCCCUAAGGUGUCCCCAACCCCCCAAGAUCUCCCCAAGGUGUCCCCAACCCCCCUGAGAUGUCCCCAAGGUGUCCCCAAGGUGUCACCAAGGUGUCCCCAAAGUGUCCUCAAGAUGUCCCCAAACCCCCUGAGAUGUCCCCAAGGUGUCCCCAAGGUGUCCCCAAGGUGUCCCCAAGUGUCCUCAACCCCCCCAAGGUGUCCCCAAGGUGUCCCCAAGGUGUCCUCAAGGUGUCCCCAACCCCCCCGAGAUGUCCUCGAGAUGUCCCCAAAACCCCCAAGAUGUCCCCAAGGUGUCCCCAAGGUGUCCCCAAGGUGUCCCCCAAACAAAUAUUUGGAAUAUCCCAAAAAUUUCCCGGGAAUGCCGUCAAAAAAAAAAAAAAAAACAACUCUUGAGAAGAUCCCAAAAAAUUUCAGAAAAUUCCCAAAAUUUGGAAUAUCCCAAAAAAUUCCAGAAAAAUCCCCCAAAAAAUUCCCGAAAAAUCCCCCCAAAAUUCCCAAAAAAUCCCCCAAAAUUCCCGAAAAAUCCCCCCAAAAUUCCCAAAAAAUCCCCAAAAAAUCCCCGAAAAAUCCCAAAAAAUCCCCAAAACCCCAAAAAUAUUUGGAAUAUCCCAAAAAAUUCCCAAAAAAUCCCAAAAUUUUGAAUAUCCAAAAAAAUCCCUGA